This is a long non-coding RNA of Vicia villosa (hairy vetch), 1639 nucleotides long. RefSeq lists it as uncharacterized. Lineage: Eukaryota; Viridiplantae; Streptophyta; Magnoliopsida; Fabales; Fabaceae. The record is from RefSeq and is a predicted model, not a curated record. The transcript has 4 exons.
UCAAAAUUAAGAAAAGAAAAAAAACGAAGAGGAUUUAGGGUUCGUGUGUGACGAUCCCAAUCCCACAAACCUAAACGUUCUCCUCCUCUCAUGAAUCUUCGCGGCGGUGGACCGCUUCCAUGCGCCGAUAACCUGUUCACCUCGUCACCACAGCCAAACACAACACCUCACCUCCGAUCGACCUCUUAUUCUUUCGUUCGGCUCUCUCCGUCUCAAUUCGUUCAACUUCAAACAACAAAACGAAAGAAGAAUGGAAAUGAGAGCUUACCUGUCGAAGAUCGAAAAUGUUAGACAAGAAAACCAGAGGGGAGAAAAUAAGAGCUCCGAAUGCGCAACAGAUGAAGAAGUCAAUGAUUCAGAUUGAAGAUGAUGCUAUAACGAAGAUGAUGAUGUUGCUUCUUGAUGAAGAUUUUUAGAGUUGAAGAAAUAAGAUGAUGAAUGAAGUUGUUGAGUCGAAGGUGGAUUUGCAGAUGAAUAUGAAGAAUGGUGAUGAAGAUUGAAUGUGAAGGAGAGUGGUGGAGGCUGAAAAAAUGGUGGAGAGUAGAAGAUGAUGUGAAGGAGGAGAUGAAGAUGAUUGAAGAAAAAAAUGGAAAAAUGGUGGAGAUGUCGGUUAUAUAGAGGUUGAAGAAACUGACUUCAGUUAGAGGAGAGGAAGAGAUUUAGUUGAGGCACGGGUCAGAAUUAGCUUCCUCCUUGCUACUAGUUCUGCUUAGCAUUGCGCAAAGGUGUAAAAACAUAGUCAGAAUCAGCCUCGGCAUGGACUUGAAUGAUCGAUCCGUUUUUAGCAUUAACUUCAAACAAACUGAUUUCUUUGGAUCCAAGUACAACAGCUCCAUCAUCUGAAAUUUUGCAUUUUGAGGUUUGUCUUUUCCCAAUGUUACUGACUGUAUGCGUAAUUCGUGAAUUUGAAAUGGAUUGUGCGGUAUAAAUUGUGUGGCUCUUAGGAUGUUAAGAUGGAACUUAGGUGGUUAAUUAGUUUAGGUAAAGGGCUGUUAUAUGGAACUGAUGUUGAAAUUGUUUUUUUGUAUAGGUUUUAAUUUGUAGAAGCAGGGUUGUUUAUUGGGAUAGUCGUUAGAAAUUAUUUGUUAGCUUGAAGCUGAAUAUAUGGAUGAGAAUAGAACUGUUCUUUUUGUGAUGUUGAUUCAGUAUGUUGCAGGUUGGACAAUUUUGGGAUGUAAUUGGGGUAAGGUUGGUCAUGUGACAGGUUGGCUGAAUGAAUUUUAUGGAUUGUGUAGGGUUUACCGAGCUCGGAACAUGGUGUUGAUCCUGGUGUUGGGACUGCAAGUCAAAUUUUCUGUUAUGGACUUGAUGAAACAGGUUGUUAGGACCUUUGCUUGUUAUUGUUGUAGGCUGCGGGUUUAUGGUUUGGAAGCAGCUUAUGGAGCUUGUCAUCUUGGUCAUGGAGAAGGAAAGUGGGAAAGGCUUUGAAAUGCCAUAGGUCUAAGAGAGUCAAAUCUGUCCAAAGAGUCGAAGGGUCAACUGUAUUUUUGUUGUGGUGAUUUUCUUUGUAAUAUUGAAUGUAAGGACAAGAAUUUUUGUAUUGGUGGUUGAAAGUGUAAAUGGAUAUGGCUAUAACAUAUAUUUGGACUUUGGAAUGGGGAACUCUUAAACGGAUAAAUGAUCUUUUCUUUCCAAUCAA